UCCUCUCGGGAGGGCACACUGGGGAAUAUUUGACACAGUGCGCAAGCGCGAUCCAUACACACCGCGCGUGUGAAGAAACCCUCUUGGUUGUAAAGCCCUUUAAGCUCGGAGGAGACUCCAUUUGUUAAUACCUCGAGGGAUAGGACCUUACCCGCAGAAUAAGCCCCGGCUAACUUUGUGCCAGCAGCCGCGGUAAUACAGAGGGGGCCAGCGUUAAUUGGAAUUACUGGGCGUAAAGCGGUGGUCGGCGGCUUUUUAAGUACGAUGGGAAAUCCCCGGGCUUCACCCUGGAAUUGCCUUUGAUACUGGCAAGCUUGAAUAUGGGAGAGGGUGGUAGAAUUCCCGGUGUAGCGGUGAAAUUCGUAGAGAUUUGGAGGAAUCCCGGUGGCGAAGGCCGCUCCUCUGGCCUAAUAAUGACGCUGAGGUCCGAAAGCAUGGGGAGCAAACCGGAUUAGAUACCCUGGUAGUCCCCCCCGUAAACGAUGUUUACUAGCCGUUGGGGCCUUUGAGGCUUCAGUGGCGCAGCUAACGCGAUAAGUGCUCCGCCUGGGAGUCGUCGCAUGU
Molecule: ribosomal RNA, 564 nt
Filed under: uncultured bacterium
Lineage: Bacteria
Description: bacterial SSU rRNA
Rfam family: Bacterial small subunit ribosomal RNA
Source: RNAcentral